AGCGAACGCUGGCGGCAGGCUUAACACAUGCAAGUCGAGCGGGCAUCCUUGUGGUGUCAGCGGCAGACGGGUGAGUAACGCGUGGGAACGUGCCCUUCGGUUCGGAAUAACUCAGGGAAACUUGAGCUAAUACCGGAUACUCCCUUUUGGGGAAAGGUUUACUGCCGAAGGAUCGGCCCGCGUCUGAUUAGCUAGUUGGUGAGGUUAUGGCUCACCAAGGCGACGAUCAGUAGCUGGUCUGAGAGGAUGAUCAGCCACACUGGGACUGAGACACGGCCCAGACUCCUACGGGAGGCAGCAGUGGGGAAUAUUGGACAAUGGGGGCAACCCUGAUCCAGCCAUGCCGCGUGAGUGAUGACGGCCUUAGGGUUGUAAAGCUCUUUUCUCCGGGACGAUAAUGACGGUACCGGAGGAAUAAGCCCCGGCUAACUUCGUG
This 436-nucleotide ribosomal RNA is filed under the name uncultured bacterium. RNAcentral's name for it is "partial 16S ribosomal RNA". It matches the Rfam family "Bacterial small subunit ribosomal RNA", at positions 29 to 507 of the family's 1533-position model. The record is from RNAcentral.